UGUAACUAGGGUAGGUUUUAUGUGGAGUUAAGAGUUAAAUGAGUUGUUUCCCUUUGACCUAGUUGUAAGAGAUGUUUCCUUUUGACCUCUGUUUUAGUUGCCGCCAAAACUGGUCACAUGACCAGAGCUCUUCUGUUUUGGAGGUUGUUUUUAGUUAGACAUGUUGAAAGGCAGUUUGCCGGUAUUUUUAUAGGAGGAUUUCAUGCACAGAUCACACAGUGAGACAGGGUGGAGUGAAGCAGAGAACAGGGCAGUUUGUACACCUGAUUCCAUAAAUUGGGUGUCGUCUUCAUGUUAUCAUCGUCAUCUCUGGCUUUGUAUUAACUCGGUAACUGAUGUCACGUGUCUUAAUAUAAAUAAAGAAGAAAAACCGAACCCAGCCUUGGGUGUUUAUAUACUAACUUUUAAUACAUAAAUAGCCAAUGGUUACAUAUGUAA
Mercenaria mercenaria is the source of this 438-nucleotide long non-coding RNA. RefSeq lists it as uncharacterized. The transcript is spliced from 3 exons. The record is from RefSeq and is a predicted model, not a curated record. NCBI's taxonomy places the organism in Eukaryota, Metazoa, Mollusca, Bivalvia, Venerida, Veneridae.